This 417-nucleotide ribosomal RNA is filed under the name Leucothoe eltoni. Its description in RNAcentral is "bacterial SSU rRNA". It matches the Rfam family "Eukaryotic small subunit ribosomal RNA", at positions 1442 to 1787 of the family's 1831-position model. Lineage: Eukaryota; Metazoa; Arthropoda; Malacostraca; Amphipoda; Leucothoidae. The record is from RNAcentral.
AGAGAGAGCAAUAACAGGUCUGUAAUGCCCUGAGAUGCUCUGGGCCGCACGCGAGUUACAAUGCUGGGUACAGCGGGUCUAACUUUUCCUUUGGCCGAAAGGUCAGGGUAAUCCUCUGAAAUCCCAGGAUCAAAUCGCAGGCUUUGAAACACGGAGCAUGCUUGGGACUGGGGCGUUGCAACUAUCUCUCACUAACGAGGAAUCCCUUGUAAUGGCCGAGUCACGUAACUUGCAGCGACUCAGUCCCUGCCCUUUGUACACACCGCCCGUCGCUACUACCGAUUGAGUGUUCCAGUGAGAGUCUUGGACUGGCGAACCAUCAACUAUGCGCGUGCGCACGCUUUCAAAGGCGUGCCCGCGUAUUCGGUGGCGACGACGGAAAGAGACUCUGAACUGGUGCACUUAGAGGAAGUAAAA